This 763-nucleotide ribosomal RNA is filed under the name uncultured organism. Its description in RNAcentral is "bacterial SSU rRNA". It matches the Rfam family "Bacterial small subunit ribosomal RNA", at positions 282 to 1045 of the family's 1533-position model. The record is from RNAcentral.
GGUAGGGGGUGUGAGAGCACGGCCCCCCACACUGGGACUGAAACACGGCCCAGACUCCUAACGGGAUGCAGCAGCGGGGAAUUAUUGCGCACUGGACGGAAGUCAAACGCAGCGACGCCGCGUGGGUGAAGAAUGCCUUCGGGUUGUAAAGCCCUUUUCUUGUUGGGAAGAGGAAGGACGGUACCAUAGGAAUAAGCGUCGGCUAACUACGUGCCAGCAGCCGCGGUAAGACGUAUGACGCAAGCGUUAUCCGGGAUUUACUGGGCGUAAAGCGUGUGUAUGCGGCGUGACAAGUUUGGGCGUGAAAGGCCCCGUGCUCAACGGCGGGGAGGCCGCCACAAUACUGUCAGGCCAAAAGGGCAUCAGAAGGGGUGUGGAAUUCCCGGAGUAACGGUAAAAUGCGCAAAAAUCGGGAGGAACACCGGUGCCGAAACCGGCACCUUGGGGUGCGCCUGAACGCUGAGAGAAGAACAGCUAUGGGGAGCGACCAGGGAUUAGAGACCCUGGUUAGUCCUAGCCGUAAACGAUGGAUGCUAGGUGUGGGAGUGAAGAACUUCUGUGCCCGCAGCGAACGCGAUAAGCAUCCCGCCUGGGGAGUACGGCCGCAAGGUUAAAACUCAAACGAAUUGACGGGGACCCGCACAAGCAGCGGAGCGUGUGGUUUAAUUCGAUGCUACACGAAGAACCUUACCUGGGAUUGACAUAUGGGUGGUAGUGAGCCGAAAGGCAAGCGACCAUUCGGGGAGCCUAUACAGGUGCUGCA